UAAUACGAAGGGUGCAAGCGUUACUCGGAAUUACUGGGCGUAAAGCGUGCGUAGGCGGUUCGUUAAGUCUGUCGUGAAAGCCCUGGGCUCAACCUGGGAAUUGCGAUGGAUACUGGCGAGCUAGAGUACGGUAGAGGAUGGUGGAAUUCCCGGUGUAGCGGUGAAAUGCGUAGAGAUCGGGAGGAACACCCGUGGCGAAGGCGGCCAUCUGGACCAGUACUGACGCUGAGGCACGAAAGCGUGGGGAGCAAACAGG
This 256-nucleotide ribosomal RNA is filed under the name uncultured bacterium. RNAcentral describes it as "partial 16S ribosomal RNA". It matches the Rfam family "Bacterial small subunit ribosomal RNA", at positions 521 to 776 of the family's 1533-position model. The record is from RNAcentral.